This 561-nucleotide ribosomal RNA is filed under the name Trigonopterus singularis. Its description in RNAcentral is "partial 16S ribosomal RNA". Lineage: Eukaryota; Metazoa; Arthropoda; Insecta; Coleoptera; Curculionidae. The record is from RNAcentral.
GAAACCGACCUGGCUCACGCCGGUUUAAACUCAGAUCAUGUAAAAUUUUAAAGGUCGAACAGACCUAUUUUAUUAGCUUCUACACCAAUAAUUAAAUUUUAAUCCAACAUCGAGGUCGCAAUCUAUUUUUUCGAUAAGAACUCUAAAAAAAAUAACGCUGUUAUCCCUAAGGUAAUUUAAUCUUUUAAUCUAAAAUUCAGGAUCAUAAACCUAUAAAUAAAUAUAAUAAUAAAGAAAAGUUUCUCGAAUUUUCCUAUCACCCCAACAAAAUAAACAUCAACAAAAUAUAAUUAAAAAUCCCUAAAAUUAAACUUUGCUUAAUCUAUUAAACUCUAUAGGGUCUUCUCGUCUUCUAUAAAAAUUUAAGCUUUUUAACUUAAAAAUAAAAUUUUAAUAAAAUUUAAUAGAGACAGUCAUUUUUUCAUCAAACCCUUCAUACAAGCUUUCAAUUAAAAAACUAGUGAUUAUGCUACCUUUGCACGGUCAAUAUACCGCGGCCAUUCAAUUAAUCAGUGGGCAGGUCAGACUUGAAAUUAUUAACAACAAGCCAUGUUUUUAAUA